GAUGAACGCUGGCGGCGUGCCUAAUACAUGCAAGCCGAGCGAACGGACGAGAAGCUUGCUUCUCUGAUGUUAGCGGCGGACGGGUGAGUAACACGUGGAUAACCUACCUAUAAGACUGGGAUAACUUCGGGAAACCGGAGCUAAUACCGGAUAAUAUUUUGAACCGCAUGGUUCAAAAGUGAAAGACGGUCUUGCUGUCACUUGUAGAUGGAUCCGCGCUGCAUUAGCUAGUUGGUAAGGUAACGGCUUACCAAGGCAACGAUGCAUAGCCGACCUGAGAGGGUGAUCGGCCACACUGGAACUGAGACACGGUCCAGACUCCUACGGGAGGCAACAGUAGGGAAUCUUCCGCAAUGGGCGAAAGCCUGACGGAGCAACGCCGCGUGAGUGAUGAAGGUCUUCGGAUCGUAAAACUCUGUUAUUAGGGAAGAACAUAUGUGUAAGUAACUGUGCACAUCUUGACGGUACCUAAUCAGAAAGCCACGGCUAACUACGUG
Molecule: ribosomal RNA, 497 nt
Filed under: uncultured bacterium
Lineage: Bacteria
Description: partial 16S ribosomal RNA
Rfam family: Bacterial small subunit ribosomal RNA
Source: RNAcentral